GCCUGGCUGGCGUAAUGGUUAACGCGUCUGACUGUCAGUAUUUCCCUCAACUCCUUGAUGUUCAACCCAAGGUUUAACAUCUGGUUCACAAUCAUUGCUAACGUUUGUUCAGUCUAAUCAGAAGAUUGCCGGUUCGAGUCCGGCGUCGGGCU
This 152-nucleotide transfer RNA is filed under the name Fusarium oxysporum NRRL 32931. RNAcentral's name for it is "tRNA-Asp". It matches the Rfam family "tRNA". Rfam says of the family: Transfer RNA (tRNA) molecules are approximately 80 nucleotides in length. Their secondary structure includes four short double-helical elements and three loops (D, anti-codon, and T loops). The record is from RNAcentral. Lineage: Eukaryota; Fungi; Ascomycota; Sordariomycetes; Hypocreales; Nectriaceae.